Molecule: long non-coding RNA, 1761 nt
Organism: Equus asinus (donkey)
Lineage: Eukaryota; Metazoa; Chordata; Mammalia; Perissodactyla; Equidae
Source: Ensembl
AGAUGUUACUCAGGGACAAUCUUCCUCAAGCAAAAAAACAAAAAAAAAAAAAAAAAAGGAGGAUUGGCAACGGAUGUUAGCUAAGGGCGAAUCUUCCUCGCAUACAAACACAAAACAAAAAAAGAGCUCAAGGGAGAUGAGGAACUCCUGGAUGAAUCCCUAGGAUGGAUAAAAAGACAGAGCUUCCUGGAUGGCUGGUCCCAGGGGCCGUGCGUUGGGAGCGUUGAGUGGAAAAGCUGGGCAGAUGCUCAGCUCAGUGGGAUGGGCGCUUCCUUGGAACUGUCCUCCCCCGAGGGGCUGCCCUGGCUUGACCUCAGCAUCGUGACAGCAGAGGUCAGUGGAAGGAUAUUCUCCACUGAACAGACAGCCACGUGUGCCAUCAGAGAGAGGUGUUGACUCCCGGUGGGCGGGACACGGAAGCUGCUCCCCAGUUCUCUCAUUUCCUUCCCACGCCGAAGCCUGCCAAUGUCCCCAGAUGUCCUUUCCUUAAAAUCUGCUAUCCUCUCCAACAAGUAAUAAAGUCCAGCCACCCAAGCUGCCCAAACCCUGCCGACUCAGCUCAAAAUAAUCGUCAUGCCAAAGUGGCGUAUUUCGAUGUGGCGUAUCCUGAUCCCAUCCAGCAGCUGAGUAAACGGAAGCAUAGAAAGCAACUUGCCUGAAGUCGCAGAACAGGCACCUGAGCUGGACCUGUUUUAAAGACAGAGAAGGCGGGGCUGGGGCAGCAGGCGCAGAGCUCACGUGGCAAGAACGUCAAGGUCAUGUAGCUCAAAAUCUGCUCUCCCCAGCCCUUUAGUCCUUGGGACAGCCAACACAGGGGAAGAAACUGCUGGUCCUCUAAGGAGGUGAGAAGUAGCAGGAGAGAGAAAGAACCAGGAGGAUGAGGAGCUGUGGGUCAAGCCAGGAAACUUCCACCAGGGAGGCUGGGAGUCAGGACAAAAAGCACUGUCCAGAUGGUGGAGCCUCUAGGAGCCUGGGUCUCUUGGAGCGGACAGCGUGAGCAGAGCCCCAGCUGACCACAUUGGGCACAGAGCAUGUGUUUUAAGCUACUGAUAUUUGCAGGAAUACAGACCCAGUUUCUCCAGAUUUCCUGAUUUUCAAGAGAAGCCCCAAAUCCUGACUUUUAUGUGUUGUUUGGCAGAGAUGACUAGUCACCUGCCGAAGAUCCGUGCAUACCCGUGUUAUGUAGAGUUAGUCCUUGGAAGCAAGUCUCCAGCCACGGAUGACAUUUCUAGCAUCCCCUCCCCUGCAAUCUAGAGGGAACCACGUGACUCGUUCUCACUAAUGGAAUGUGACGUGAAGUGGCUUACUUCUGGGUCAAGGUGGUUAAAUUCAGGUAUCUGAGCAGCCACCAGGUGACCAGCUCCAUGGAGGACAACAGUGGAGAACAAGACAGUCAAGCACACUGCUCUCACAGAACUUAUGUUCUAAUCCUCCCCUCUCCAAGGUGCCUGGAGCUGCUUUGGGGACGAGACAACUCGAGGUGACAUGGCGCAGGAUUACAGGCAUGAAGCCCACAGAGGGAAGGAUGCUCCCUUUCACUUCUCCUUUGAUCUCUCUGAUUAAGCACCUUCUCUGGUGCUAGACUGUCUUAUCUUUAACACCUUUCUAACACUUCGGUUGUAUCUUUUUUACAAAGAGCAGGCAGCCGGCCUUCAGCUUACAAUAGGCAGCAGCCAGAAUAUGGCUUGAUUGUUUUGUUUUUGUUGUAUUUAUUUUCCCAGUUACUACUUGCUUAUGGCAAGUAAUUCAGUUUUCUUUUCA